Mustela lutreola (European mink) is the source of this 236-nucleotide long non-coding RNA. RefSeq lists it as uncharacterized. The transcript has 3 exons. The record is from RefSeq and is a predicted model, not a curated record. Lineage: Eukaryota; Metazoa; Chordata; Mammalia; Carnivora; Mustelidae.
GAGGCCAGUGAUUCUGAGCGUGCGGGUGGGCGUGUUUGCGGACCAGCUGCAGCCGCCGCGGAGCGGCUUAAUGGCGACUGCCUGAGUUGUGAGGAGUCAGGUCGCUCUCCCCGGGCAGCAACGGCCGCGCUCCUGCGGGGGAGAGCGCCGCCGUCAGCAGUACAACCUGUGGAAGAGAGAUGCUGCAUAGCUGAAACCAGAGAUCACAAGUAGGAAGAAAGGCAGGCAGUGGCGGG